RNAcentral lists this ribosomal RNA (327 nucleotides) under Triticum aestivum (bread wheat). Its description in RNAcentral is "partial small subunit ribosomal RNA". Lineage: Eukaryota; Viridiplantae; Streptophyta; Magnoliopsida; Poales; Poaceae. The record is from RNAcentral.
AACAGUGAGAGGAAGGUGCAUUGGUUAGCAUGGGAGAAAGUGUGUACUGGUAAGCAUGAAGGGGGACUCGGAUUCAGAGACCCGGCUGCGUUCAACCAUGCAUUGCUAGCUAAACAGGAAUGGAGAGUGCUACAGAACCCAGACUCAUUAUGUGCUAGAGUGUUGAAGGCAAGAUAUUUCAAGGAUGGGACGAUCUUGAAGACAACGUGCCCCUCGGGAGCCUCAUAUACUUUCCAUAGUAUACUAUAUGGACGUGAUCUAUUGAGAUAUGGCACUAUAUGGUGCAUUGGAGAUGGAUCCAAGAUCAACAUCAACCAUGAUAAUUAG